GCGGGCGUGGUGGAAUUGGUAGACUCGGUGGAUUUAGGUUCCUCUGGCAUCGCCGUGCAGGUUCGAGUCCUGUCGCCCGCACCA
This 84-nucleotide transfer RNA is filed under the name Oscillospiraceae bacterium. Its description in RNAcentral is "tRNA-Leu". It matches the Rfam family "tRNA". From Rfam's summary of the family: Transfer RNA (tRNA) molecules are approximately 80 nucleotides in length. Their secondary structure includes four short double-helical elements and three loops (D, anti-codon, and T loops). Lineage: Bacteria; Bacillati; Bacillota; Clostridia; Eubacteriales; Oscillospiraceae. The record is from RNAcentral.